RNAcentral lists this ribosomal RNA (261 nucleotides) under uncultured prokaryote. RNAcentral describes it as "partial 16S ribosomal RNA". It matches the Rfam family "Bacterial small subunit ribosomal RNA", at positions 524 to 784 of the family's 1533-position model. The record is from RNAcentral.
UACGUAGGUGGCGAGCGUUGUCCGGAUUUACUGGGCGUAAAGGGAGCGUAGGCGGACUUUUAAGUGAGAUGUGAAAUACCCGAGCUCAACUUGGGUGCUGCAUUUCAAACUGGAAGUCUAGAGUGCAGGAGAGGAGAAUGGAAUUCCUAGUGUAGCGGUGAAAUGCGUAGAGAUUAGGAAGAACACCAGUGGCGAAGGCGAUUCUCUGGACUGUAACUGACGCUGAGGCGCGAAAGCGUGGGGAGCGAACAGGAUUAGAUA